UAGAUGAAACAGGGUUCUGCUAUCGCUUUUAGAUGGACCCGCGGCGUAUUAACUAGUUGGUGGGGUAACGGCCUACCAAGGUGAUGAUACGUAGCCGAACUGAGAGGUUGAUCGGCCACAUUGGGACUGAGACACGGCCCAAACUCCUACGGGAGGCAGCAGUAGGGAAUCUUCCACAAUGGACGCAAGUCUGAUGGAGCAACGCCGCGUGAGUGAAGAAGGUCUUCGGAUCGUAAAACUCUGUUGUUAGAGAAGAACACGAGUGAGAGUAACUGUUCWUKYRWUGACGGUAUCUAACCAGMAAGYCACGGCUAACUACGUGCCAGCAGCCGCGGUAAUACGUAGGUGGCAAGCGUUGUCCGGAUUUAUUGGGCGUAAAGGGAACGCAGGCGGUCYUUUAAGUCUGAUGUGAAAGCCUUCGGCUUAACCG
This 430-nucleotide ribosomal RNA is filed under the name Ligilactobacillus salivarius. RNAcentral's name for it is "bacterial SSU rRNA". It matches the Rfam family "Bacterial small subunit ribosomal RNA", at positions 193 to 615 of the family's 1533-position model. The record is from RNAcentral. Lineage: Bacteria; Bacillati; Bacillota; Bacilli; Lactobacillales; Lactobacillaceae.